Molecule: ribosomal RNA, 381 nt
Filed under: uncultured eukaryote
Lineage: Eukaryota
Description: partial 18S ribosomal RNA
Rfam family: Eukaryotic small subunit ribosomal RNA
Source: RNAcentral
CAAUAGCGUAUAUUAAAGUUGUUGCAGUUAAAAAGCUCGUAGUUGGAUUUGUGGUUUGUCCCGCCUGCUGGACCUGUUUGGGUCUCUGCGGCGCGGGUCAUCCAUCCUUGGGUGGAAUCCGUGUGGCAUUAGGUUGUCGCGCGGGGGAUGCCCAUCUUUUACUGUGAAAAAAUUAGAGUGUUCAAAGCAGUCUUACGACGUUGAAUAUAUUAGCAUGGAAUAAUGAUAUAGGACCUUGGUACUAUUUUGUUGGUUUGCGCACUGAGGUAAUGAUUAACAGGGACAGUUGGGGGUAUUCGUAUUCCAUUGUAAGAGGUGAAAUUCUUGGAUUUUUGGAAGACGAACUACUGCGAAAGCAUUUACCAAGGAUGUUUNCAUUAA